CAAACGGCCCUUUUUAGGGCCCCCAAAAGAUCUGACGUGAGCAUCU
This is a non-coding RNA of Lasius niger, 46 nucleotides long. Lineage: Eukaryota; Metazoa; Arthropoda; Insecta; Hymenoptera; Formicidae. The record is from Rfam.